RNAcentral lists this long non-coding RNA (265 nucleotides) under Elaeis guineensis (African oil palm). RNAcentral's name for it is "long non-coding RNA (EGUI_LNC039832)". The record is from RNAcentral. Lineage: Eukaryota; Viridiplantae; Streptophyta; Magnoliopsida; Arecales; Arecaceae.
CUCUCCCAUAUUACUUGAUAAUGUGCAUGACUCCAUAGGUUCGAACACUAAGCUGAUAGUACAGAAACUAAUUUUUGUACUAAUCGAAGUGACCAUCUAGCAAUGAUACUCGUUAUCUAGAUAGAUCGAAUAAUUAUAAAGCAACAUUUUAGAACCUUGGUAUAUGGUUAUCGUAUAAUUUAUACCUUCGACCCAAUGCUUAAGAUGACCUCAGAGUUAAACUAUCAAACUCUUGACAAAUCAUCUGUAUUGUGUUUCAACCUUA